ACAAAGUCUCGCCCUGUUGCCCAGGCUGGAGUGCAGUGCUGCAAUCUGGGCUCCCUGCAACCUCUGCCUCCUGGGUUCAAGCAAUUCUCAUGCCUCAGCCUCCAGAGUAGCUGGGAUUACAGACACCUGCCACCACGCUCAGGCUGGAGUGCAGCGGCACAAUCAGCUCACUGCAGCCUCAAUUCACCCAGACUCAAGCGAUCCUCCUGCCUCAGCCUUCUGAGUAGCUGGGACUACAGAGACAGGAUCUUGCUCUGCCACCCAGGAUGGAGUACAGUGGUGUGGUCACAGCUCACUGCACCUUGAAUUCCCAGGCUCAAGCGAUCCUCCCACUUCAGCCUCCUGAGUAGCUGGGACCACAGCCACAUGCCACCAUGCCCUAGCCAUUUAGUUUUUAAACAUUUUUUUUUUAGAGAAAGGGUCUCACUAUGUUGCCCAGGCUGGUUUUGAACUCCCGGCUUCAAGUGACCCUCCUGCCUUGGCCUCCCAAAGUGCUGGGGUUACAGAUUUGUGCCACUGCAUCACCUGUAGGCUGACCCUGAAUUUGUGGUAAGUCUGGGACAGUCAUCUUGUGCAAUGUUACACAGGUUGAAGUUGCCUAUAUUUGUGUAGUUGAUCUCUUGAUGCCUUUUUAAACUUUUUCUCUAUCCCUUCUACUUCCAGGGACCUGGAAGCUACAUUUGCCACCUUGAAUAGACUCAGAUUAAACAUUUUGGACACUAAAGAGUUCAUGGAUGAUAGGGUGUACUUUUUGCAUCACAUUAGGAGGCACAUUGGGUGAGGCUGUUCCGCUAUCUGUGAGGCUAAUUUUGAUUGCCUUAUUAAAGUGGUGACUGCCAGAUCUCUCCAUCAUGAAGGCACAUUUUCUCUUUGCAAUUCACAAUGAAUCUGUGCAUAAUUCUUUAGUGCCAUGAAAAUAUUCUGUUUACCAUAACCUUUCACUUGAUGGUUUUAGUAUCUGUUGACAAUUCUUGACUAAAUAAAUUAUUACAUUUAGGUUUGUAAAUAGGUGAUAUUACAAAAAUGACUUUAAUAUUAGAGAAUACAUAAGUCGAGACCCUGACAAGAACUAGGUAUCUCACCAUGCUUUGUCCUAAAUACAAAGAAUUUUUUUUACCAGAGAACUGCA
Long non-coding RNA from Gorilla gorilla gorilla (western lowland gorilla), 1129 nucleotides. RefSeq lists it as uncharacterized. Lineage: Eukaryota; Metazoa; Chordata; Mammalia; Primates; Hominidae. The record is from RefSeq and is a predicted model, not a curated record. The transcript has 3 exons.